This 253-nucleotide ribosomal RNA is filed under the name uncultured bacterium. RNAcentral describes it as "partial 16S ribosomal RNA". It matches the Rfam family "Bacterial small subunit ribosomal RNA", at positions 524 to 776 of the family's 1533-position model. The record is from RNAcentral.
UACAGAGGCCCCGAGCGUUGUUCGGAUUCACUGGGCGUAAAGGGUGCGUAGGUGGCUUGAUAAGUUUGAUGUGAAAGCUCAGGGCUUAACCCUGAAAUGGCAUUGAAUACUGUCGAGCUGGAGGUUUGGAGGGGGGACUGGAAUUCUUGGUGUAGCAGUGAAAUGCGUAGAUAUCAAGAGGAACACCAGUGGCGAAGGCGAGUCCCUGGACAACACCUGACACUGAGGCACGAAAGCUAGGGGAGCAAACAGG